CAGCCGCCGCGGGAAUACAGAGGGUGCGAGCGUUAAUCGGAUUUACUGGGCGUAAAGCGUGCGUAGGCGGCUAAUUGAGUCGGAUGUGAAAUCCCCGAGCUUAACUUGGGAAUUGCAUUCGAUACUGGUUAGCUAGAGUGUGGAAGAGGAUGGUAGAAUUCCAGGUGUAGCGGUGAAAUGCGUAGAGAUCUGGAGGAAUACCGAUGGCGAAGGCAGCCAUCUGGCCUAACACUGACGCUGAGGUACGAAAGCAUGGGGAGCAAACAGGAUUAGAUACCCCCGUAGUCCCUGUCUCUUAUAC
RNAcentral lists this ribosomal RNA (301 nucleotides) under uncultured bacterium. RNAcentral's name for it is "partial 16S ribosomal RNA". It matches the Rfam family "Bacterial small subunit ribosomal RNA", at positions 509 to 807 of the family's 1533-position model. The record is from RNAcentral.